This 253-nucleotide ribosomal RNA is filed under the name uncultured bacterium. Its description in RNAcentral is "partial 16S ribosomal RNA". It matches the Rfam family "Bacterial small subunit ribosomal RNA", at positions 524 to 776 of the family's 1533-position model. The record is from RNAcentral.
UACGUAGGGGGCAAGCGUUAUCCGGAUUUACUGGGUGUAAAGGGAGCGUAGACGGCGAUGCAAGUCUGAAGUGAAAGCCCGGGGCUCAACCCCGGGACUGCUUUGGAAACUGUAUGGCUGGAGUGCUGGAGAGGCAAGCGGAAUUCCUAGUGUAGCGGUGAAAUGCGUAGAUAUUAGGAAGAACACCAGUGGCGAAGGCGGCUUGCUGGACAGUAACUGACGUUGAGACUCGAAAGCGUGGGGAGCAAACAGG